Long non-coding RNA from Serinus canaria (Common canary), 1266 nucleotides. RefSeq lists it as uncharacterized. The transcript has 3 exons. Lineage: Eukaryota; Metazoa; Chordata; Aves; Passeriformes; Fringillidae. The record is from RefSeq and is a predicted model, not a curated record.
AGGGUACGGGGAGAGCAGCGCCCCCAUGGUGAGCACCGGAACUGCAACUGGGAGUUAAUUAUCAGUGGGAGUUAAUUAAUGAUGAUGGUGGGAGUUAAUUAAUGAUGGGAUUUGAUAAUGGCAGUUAAUAAUGGGAGUUAAUGAUGGGAUUUAAUGAUGGGAGAUGAAAGGGUACGGGGAGAGCAGCGCCCCCAUGGUGAGCACCGGAACUGCAACCGGGAGUUAAUUAUCAGUGGGAGUUAAUUAAUGAUGAUGGGAAAUAAUUAAUAAUGGGGAUUAAUAAUGGGAGUAACAAGGGGAAUAAUAAUGGGAAUUAAUAACAGGAAUAACGGGGAUAAUAACAGGAAUAACCAUGGGAAUUAAUAACGGGAAUAAUGGGAAUGAUAACGGGAAUUAAUAACGGGAAUAAUGGGGAUGAUAACGGGAAUUAAUAACGGGAAUAAUGGGGAUGAUAACGGGAAUUAAUAACGGGGAUAAUGGGAAUAACAAUGGGAAUAACAAUGGGAAUGAUAACGGGAAUAACAAUGGGAAUGAUAACGGGAAUAACAAUGGGAAUUAUUAAUGGGAAUAAUGGGAAUAACAAUGGGAAUAAUAACGGGGAUAAUGGGAAUAACAAUGGGAAUUAAUAACGGGAAUAAUGGGAAUAACAAUGGGAAUUAAUAACGGGAAUAACAAUGGGAAUAAUAACGGGGAUAAUGGGAAUAACAAUGGGAAUUAAUAACGGGGAUAACGGGAAUAACAAUGGGAAUUAAUAAUGGGAAUUUUGGGAUUUUGGGAAUUCCAGGAUGGGAUGGAGAUUCCAGGAUGCGAUUGGAUUUCCAGGAGGGGACGGGGAUUUUGGGAUGCGGUUGGAAUUCUGGGAUGAGCUGGGAAUUCCAGGAUGGGAUUGGAAGUUUGGACUGGGAACAGAAUUCGGGGAUGGGUUUGGAAUUCCGGGAUCAGCUGGGAAUUCUGGAAUGGGGUCAGGAUUCCGGGAAUUCCGGAAUUGGAUUUUAAUUCUGGGAUGGGGUUGGGAAUUCCGGGGUGGGAUCGGAAUUAUGGGAUGGGAUCGGAAAUCUGGGGUAGGAAUGGGGAUUUUGGGAUGGGAAAAAAAAAAAUCCUGCAAAAAAAUCAUGGAGAAAAAAUUGGGAAAAAUAAGGAAAUUAAAAUAUUGUAAAAAAAAAAAAGUUGGGAAAAAAUUUAAUGGGAAAAAAAAAACGGGGAAAAAUAAUGGAAAAAAAUCCUGGGGAAAAAAUUCAUGGGAAGGAAAAAUCAUGGAAAAGAAAC